This is a long non-coding RNA of Homo sapiens (human), 398 nucleotides long. NCBI's taxonomy places the organism in Eukaryota, Metazoa, Chordata, Mammalia, Primates, Hominidae. The record is from Ensembl.
AAGCUACUACCCUUCCAAAGCUAUGAUUCUCAAGAUAACUAUUACCAUCCCAGCAGGAUGGGCAGUCCAGGGGCCAACUGGUCCCACUGCUGGAGCAGAUCACACAGGACGGCCAGGGCCAGGGCCAGAGCGAUGGAGGCAUCCACCUGGCAGAAGGCAAACUCUGCAAAGACAGGAGAAAGUGUCACCAGAAGGAUCAGGAAGGCUUCCCUGUCCAGUGUCUCCUCUGCACAUCUGCCUGGAUUUGACUGGUUUGCCCUUUCCUUGGAAAGCAGAUCUCUUGGGCACAAGACACAUCCUAGAGCAGGGCAUCGGCAAGCUUUUCCUUAAAGGGCCAGAGAGUCAAUAUUUUAGACUUUGCAAGCCUAUACCUCCUCACCUCGGCUGAAAGCAGCCAU